Parasteatoda tepidariorum (common house spider) is the source of this 467-nucleotide non-coding RNA. NCBI's taxonomy places the organism in Eukaryota, Metazoa, Arthropoda, Arachnida, Araneae, Theridiidae. The record is from RefSeq and is a predicted model, not a curated record.
CGUACAAAAAUCAAUUAGGUUUUAUUAUUUUUCUUUUAACAGUUUCAGUAUAAAUAGGCAGGUUUUUACUCGAAAAAAACACACUCGUUCAAAUAGUAACGAUAUUAGCAAGAUGAAUUCUAAACUUUGCAUUGUCCUUGUUGUAUUUGCCCUUUUGGCAAUAUUGGGUUCCGCAAUGGCUGAUCCACAAUUGGGAGUUUUAGGACAGGUGAAAGAAUUGGGUGACAAAAUUCUUAGCACUGCCGGAGCACACAACAACGAUGCCGAAGAUGUACAAACACUCCAUGCUCAUCGUGGAUAGAAACUGCUGUUAUGUAUACAUUAUAUCUGCUUUGUAUUAUUUUGAAUCUCCAUUUUAAUGGCAUUGCAAUAAAAACAGUUUGUUGAAGUUCUUGAAAAUUAUUUUUAAUACAAUAACUUCUGCUUUUGUAUAUAUAUUUAUGGAACAGUAAACUCGGGUAUUUUUC